AUGUUGGAAGAAAAGAAGCAAUGCGAUGGGAACUCAUUAGGCUCGUCACUCGAGAAUUGGAUGACCAACAGUCGGGCUCCCUAUCUUCACCAGGUGAUAUGGCAGCGCCUCUUGCAUCUGCUAAAGCGCCGGGCUCUACUGUGGCCCCUGACUUCGAGGCAGCUGCUGGAACAAUGCACACACGCUUUGGAAAAGAAAAUAGGGGAGAUUCCCUGGUUAAGCUGCGCUGAAGAAACAAAGAAUCACUGUGAGGCUGAAGAAUCAGAGAAUCACCGUCAGGCUGUUGGGGUCCUGGGAUGCCUGAAUUGCAACAUUCACGCUUGA
Molecule: ribosomal RNA, 324 nt
Filed under: Triticum aestivum (bread wheat)
Lineage: Eukaryota; Viridiplantae; Streptophyta; Magnoliopsida; Poales; Poaceae
Description: partial small subunit ribosomal RNA
Source: RNAcentral